This 1343-nucleotide ribosomal RNA is filed under the name uncultured bacterium. RNAcentral's name for it is "16S ribosomal RNA". It matches the Rfam family "Bacterial small subunit ribosomal RNA", at positions 28 to 1378 of the family's 1533-position model. The record is from RNAcentral.
GACGAACGCUGGCGGCGUGCUUAACACAUGCAAGUCGAACGGAAAGGCCCUGCUUUUGUGGGGUGCUCGAGUGGCGAACGGGUGAGUAACACGUGAGUAACCUGCCCUUGACUUUGGGAUAACUUCAGGAAACUGGGGCUAAUACCGGAUAGGAGCUCCUGCUGCAUGGUGGGGGUUGGAAAGUUUCGGCGGUUGGGGAUGGACUCGCGGCUUAUCAGCUUGUUGGUGGGGUAGUGGCUUACCAAGGCUUUGACGGGUAGCCGGCCUGAGAGGGUGACCGGCCACAUUGGGACUGAGAUACGGCCCAGACUCCUACGGGAGGCAGCAGUGGGGAAUAUUGCACAAUGGGCGGAAGCCUGAUGCAGCAACGCCGCGUGCGGGAUGACGGCCUUCGGGUUGUAAACCGCUUUCGCCUGUGACGAAGCGUGAGUGACGGUAAUGGGUAAAGAAGCACCGGCUAACUACGUGCCAGCAGCCGCGGUGAUACGUAGGGUGCGAGCGUUGUCCGGAUUUAUUGGGCGUAAAGGGCUCGUAGGUGGUUGAUCGCGUCGGAAGUGUAAUCUUGGGGCUUAACCCUGAGCGUGCUUUCGAUACGGGUUGACUUGAGGAAGGCAGGGGAGAAUGGAAUUCCUGGUGGAGCGGUGGAAUGCGCAGAUAUCAGGAGGAACACCAGUGGCGAAGGCGGUUCUCUGGGCCUUUCCUGACGCUGAGGAGCGAAAGCGUGGGGAGCGAACAGGCUUAGAUACCCUGGUAGUCCACGCUGUAAACGGUGGGUACUAGGCGUGGGGUCCAUUCCACGGGUUCCGUGCCGUAGCUAACGCUUUAAGUACCCCGCCUGGGGAGUACGGCCGCAAGGCUAAAACUCAAAGGAAUUGACGGGGCCCCGCACAAGCGGCGGAGCAUGCGGAUUAAUUCGAUGCAACGCGUAGAACCUUACCUGGGUUUGACAUGGAUCGGGAGUGCUCAGAGAUGGGUGUGCCUCUUUUGGGGUCGGUUCACAGGUGGUGCAUGGCUGUCGUCAGCUCGUGUCGUGAGAUGUUGGGUUAAGUCCCGCAACGAGCGCAACCCUUGUUCACUGUUGCCAGCACGUUAUGGUGGGGACUCAGUGGAGACCGCCGGGGUCAACUCGGAGGAAGGUGGGGAUGACGUCAAGUCAUCAUGCCCCUUAUGUCCAGGGCUUCACGCAUGCUACAAUGGCUGGUACAGAGAGUGGCGAGCCUGUGAGGGUGAGCGAAUCUCGGAAAGCCGGUCUCAGUUCGGAUUGGGGUCUGCAACUCGACCUCAUGAAGUCGGAGUCGCUAGUAAUCGCAGAUCAGCAACGCUGCGGUGAAUACGUUCCCGGG